RNAcentral lists this long non-coding RNA (1318 nucleotides) under Felis catus (domestic cat). RNAcentral describes it as "lncRNA (ENSFCAG00000051856.1)". The record is from RNAcentral. Lineage: Eukaryota; Metazoa; Chordata; Mammalia; Carnivora; Felidae.
AAGAACCAGCCUCCCUAUCUUUUACAGGGAGCCUCAAAAUAACAUGCGCCCAGUAAGAGAGAAAGUCACAUAAACACCGUUCACACACAAACACUCAGAUUCACUUACGAGCCGGGGCAAGGAAGCACAUAGAGGCUUUUCUGAAAUGCCUUCUCUCUGCCGCACCAACGCAAGGACACGCCUAGAACCCCCGGGGCACCUACGUCGACAGAGGCCUGGAUACUGUGGCGACACACGUGUGCAAACAGACAUGGUCAGACCCAGGCACACGCCCCGCUGUGGACCCGUCCACUUCCCCGGGGGACCCAGGUUUUAGCCUGAACAACGCAAGCCACAGAGGAUGUGCAGCAUGGCCAGUCCGCUGGUGAGUGUGGACGAGAACGGUCUCAAACGGUCCCCUAGAACGACUCGUGGUUUGGAAACAGAAGAAGUUACAUGUCAGUCACGGUGGCAAGAAAGCAGAGCUGGGAGAAGGUUCACAACCAACACAGCGGUACUGGGAUGCAGUUAUGAACACGUUCAGCCCCCUGGCCUUGAGUCCACCUCUCAUCGGGGAAGAGGGAGGUCCUGAGAGGCAGUGACAAGACGGCGUGACCCCUCUUCCACAGAGGUGAGGCAGGUGCCUUGGGUGCACAGCUAAGAAGCCAGUGGCCCUUCCAGGAUGGAAGGUGAGAGAGGGAACAGGGAACCCUCCACCAGGUACGUCAAGGAGCCACCAGAAAAGGGAUGUGAAAUUCGUGAUUUUUUUUAAUGUUUAUUUAUUUUUGAGAGAGAGAGGCAGAAAGAGAGGGAGACGCAAAAGCCGAAGCAGGCUCCAGGCUCCGAGCUGCCGGCACAGGGCCUGAUGUGGGGCUUGAACCCACGAACCUCGGGCCCACCACCUUUCAGGGCAAUCAUGAGAAGUGACUGCAGAUGUCUGAGCUGGGGAAGAAGUCCUCCAAAACCUCCUCGAGCCAUAAAUAGAGUCUUUCUUUCUUCCUUUUCUUAACCCCCCUGUUUUUUGUCCUUUAAGGGUAUUGCUUUUCAUAUUUUUACCUCCAGCUGUCUCGAUGGUAUUUCAACCUUUUUUAUAUUUUCCUAAGUCUUGUAUUUAACGUGCCCUGGAAAUUGUCAUCGAAUAUAAAAAAUCAGAUCUCAAACUUCUGCGUUAGGAACGGAGGGACGCAGAGCAAGGUUUUUUGGGUUUUUUUUUUUGUUUUUUUCUCUUUUGAGUGCAUGGACUUUUGAUAUAUGGAAUGAAGACGAUUGUGUCUGAUUGCAUCUGUAAUGAACCCUCAUAAUUUUAGAUUAGGGUUAUGUGGACGUCCCAACUAAUGGG